AACGAACGCUGGCGGCAUGCCUAACACAUGCAAGUCGAGCGAGGCCGUCUGGUAUAUGUACCAACUGGAUCAUAAGGCAAGGGGACCUUCCCGUGGGUGGAAAAUGACUCCCAGCAGGGGAUACUAAUAGCGAAUGAUUGCUACUACCCAAAGAUUUAUCGACUUUGGAUGGUCCAGCGUUAGAUUAGCUAGUUGGUAAGGUAAAGAACUACCAAGGCUACGAUCCAUAGCUGGUAUGAGAGGAUGAUCAGACCCACUGGGACUGAGACACGGCCCAGACUCCUACGGGAGGCAGCAGUGGGGAAUAUUGGACAAUGGGCGAAAGACUGAUCCAGCAAUGCCGCGUGAGUGAUGAAGGACUUAGGGUUGUAAAGCUCUUUUACCAGGGAUGAUAAUGACAGUAACGGGAGAAUAAGCUACGGCUAACUCCGUG
RNAcentral lists this ribosomal RNA (433 nucleotides) under uncultured bacterium. RNAcentral describes it as "partial 16S ribosomal RNA". It matches the Rfam family "Bacterial small subunit ribosomal RNA", at positions 29 to 507 of the family's 1533-position model. The record is from RNAcentral.